UGUUUUUCUUGUCCCUGUUCUUCCACAGCUGGUUGAUAGUCAUUCUCUCCCAGCUGAAUCCACUGUUUGGACCUGCUUUGAGUAAUGACACUAUUUGGUAUCUGCAAUUCCACUGGCGCUGACUCUGCCCACGACUCUGCCCUCAAUUACUGAGAAAGGCCUAGGAGGACCAAGGACAAAGAGAGAGAGAGAGAGAGAGCGAGAGCGAGCGAGCGAGAGAGAGAGUCUGGCAUGUGGCCCGGGAGCGCAGGCAGAUCUAAGUCCUCCAGACUGUCCCACAAGGCCCUGAGCUCAGACCCUCCCACCAAUGGAAUCCUUGGCUUAGUUUAUAUUUAUUUUAUUAACCACACAGUUACUAAGUAUUUUGGGUUAAAUGGUCUCUGAAUAUAUGAUAUAGGAUUUUCAGCCAUGAUUGAAUGCACAUGACCUUGCUCAUCCUAUCAGCUUUAAGUGUUUCUCGAAACUCAUGUUGUGUUGUCUAUUCAUCUUACCAACUUGUCUGUUACAAUGAAUAUUUGUAGAUGCCUCAAAAUUCGUAAUUUUGUUUUUGUACUGUACAUUUUUGGGGACAAAAUGUGCCCAAGCAAGUCCUGUACAGGCAGUAAUGACAACUAAAUGAGUUAACCUAGUCUGUAUGUUCCAUGUUUAUCUUAUCAUGACUGAUUUUUCCCAACAUAGUAACAAUGUCAAAUCACAGUACAUAACAUAUAGUAUUAUGGCAGAUCUAUUCAAAGAUGGUAUUUAUAAUGUACAGUAUUUUAUUUGUAAACUCUAAGGACUUGAGUUUCAUGCUUGCACCAAGUAAGUGUAACCUAGGGCCUUUGGAAAAAUAUAAUUGUCAUUAUUGAAGUAUUUAUAUUACUUCCAUAUAAUAUAAAUGUCUGGAUAACCGUAUUAUAGCAUCUGAAGUGUGUGCAAUGUUGCUGUAGGAUACCGUAAUUUACUUGCAAAGUUUUGGGUCAAUCCUAAAGCUUCACUGCGAUUGGUCCGUGAAGGACCACGUGACUAGGUAGUCACGCGCUUUCCAGGAACCUGUCAGGAAGAAGAAAAACAAAACAAACGCAAGAGAAAGGUAGCGUGGACUCCAUUGAAAUGGCUUUGUUAUUGCUCAGAUAGGAAUAAACACGAAGCGAAACACGACACAAAACUUUCAUAUGGGGUUUCUAAAGACACCAGGCAUCAGAAGAGAACUAGACUUCCAUGAGUUCACAGAGUUUUCCACAAUAAAGAAGACUCUUUU
Molecule: long non-coding RNA, 1240 nt
Organism: Coregonus clupeaformis (lake whitefish)
Lineage: Eukaryota; Metazoa; Chordata; Actinopteri; Salmoniformes; Salmonidae
Exons: 3
Source: RefSeq, a predicted model, not a curated record